GAUGAAGAACGCAGUGAAAUGCGAUACGUAGUGUGAAUUGCAGAAUUCAGUGAAUCAUCGAAUCUUUGAACGCACAUUGCACCUCUCGGUAUUCCGGGAGGUAUGCCUGUUCGAGCGUCAUUUGUACCCUCAAGCUCUGCUUGGUGUUGGGUGUUUGUUCCGCCUCUGUGUGUGAACUCGCCUCAAAACAAUUGGCAGCCGGCGUACUUGUUUCGGAGCGCAGCACAUUUUGCGAUCCAGAUCAACGUACAGCGGCAUCCAAGAAGCCUUAUUUAACGCUCUUGACCUCGGAUCAGGUAGGGAUACCCGCUGAACUUAAGCAUAUCAAUAAGAGGA
RNAcentral lists this unclassified non-coding RNA (336 nucleotides) under soil metagenome. Its description in RNAcentral is "partial contains 5.8S ribosomal RNA, internal transcribed spacer 2, and large subunit ribosomal RNA". The stretch from base 1 to 120 matches the Rfam family "5.8S ribosomal RNA", at positions 35 to 154 of the family's 154-position model. The record is from RNAcentral.